AGAGAGUGCAAGCGUUAAUCGGAAUUACUGGGCGUAAAGCGCACGUAGGUGGAUAUUUAAGUCGGAUGUGAAAGCCCUAGGCUCAACCUAGGAAUUGCAUUCGAUACUGGGUAUCUAGAGUAUGGUAGAGGGAAGUGGAAUUUCCGGUGUAGCGGUGAAAUGCGUAGAUAUCGGAAGGAGCACCAGUGGCGAAGGCGACUUCCUGGACCAAUACUGACACUGAGGUGCGAAAGCGUGGGGGAGCAAACAGGAUUAGAUACCCUGGUAGUCCACGCUGUCAACGAUGAGAACUAGACGUUGGAGGGUAUUCCCUUUAGUGUCGAAGCUAACGCGUUAAGUUCUCCGCCUGGGGAUACGGCCGCAAGGCUA
This 369-nucleotide ribosomal RNA is filed under the name uncultured organism. RNAcentral's name for it is "partial 16S ribosomal RNA". It matches the Rfam family "Bacterial small subunit ribosomal RNA", at positions 527 to 896 of the family's 1533-position model. The record is from RNAcentral.